AGCGGAUGGUGGAUGCCAGGCGCCGAGGCACAGGAAGUGCGGAGUCAAUGUGUAACGGGCACAGAGGCUCGGUUUGAGAUGAGAAGGUUCUGGGGAGGAUGGUGUCGGGGCCGGUCGUUAAUGCCACUGAAGAAUGGUCAACACCGAGAGGAAGCCGGGACGGCAAACGCAGGGCUCCCAUCCCGUGUGCCAGCUUCCCGCAGGGGUAACCUCCCGUGGGUUACUCCUGAGGGAUCGUGUGGGGCCACCUGUGAGCCGUGGGUCCCCACUCCACCCAAACGUGUUCCUCCGCGCCCCGGCCCCAGCCCCAGCCCCCACAUUAGUCACUCGCAAAAUCCGUGUCGGCGAGGCUCCCCAGGAAGCUGACGAUAGUGAUCUAAAAACUGAAACAACGCCUUCACGCUGUGGUCCCGGAUUUCAGCGGCUUCUUGGUUUUGUCUGUCCCCAACGCUGAUGACCGGCCUCCUCGGUCGCAUUUCCUUCUGCAGCCAGUGAAGCCGCUCUCGGAGUCCCUAACUCCCAUCGGUAACUGUUACCUCGAGGAACUGAGGGCGCCCAGCUCCACACCUCGAGGGAGCUCCUGGCCCCCCCGGAAUCAGAGGCUUCUCGCCCCCGCCCGUUCUCCCUGGCUCUUCCCAAACCACGUUUCUGACUCAGGGCUGUUCUAGCAAAUCCCACUUCACCCACACCAGCUGUCAUGAAAGCCGCAAGCCCUAGCGCCUUUAUUCACAACAG
This is a long non-coding RNA of Lynx canadensis (Canada lynx), 735 nucleotides long. RefSeq lists it as uncharacterized. The transcript is spliced from 3 exons. The record is from RefSeq and is a predicted model, not a curated record. Lineage: Eukaryota; Metazoa; Chordata; Mammalia; Carnivora; Felidae.